This 612-nucleotide ribosomal RNA is filed under the name uncultured bacterium. RNAcentral's name for it is "bacterial SSU rRNA". It matches the Rfam family "Bacterial small subunit ribosomal RNA", at positions 338 to 951 of the family's 1533-position model. The record is from RNAcentral.
CCUACGGGAGGCAGCAGUAAGGAAUAUUGGACAAUGCUCGCAAGAGUGAUCCAGCCAUGCCGCGUGCAGGAAGAAUGCCCUAUGGGUAGUAAACUGCUUUUGAACUAGAGAAAACCCCAGUACGUGUACUGGGCUGAUAGUAUAGUUAGAAUAAGCAUCGGCUAACUUCGUGCCAGCAGCCGCGGUAAGACGAAGGAUGCAAGCGUUAUCCGGAUUCAUUGGGUUUAAAGGGAGCGUAGGUGGACUUAUAAGUCAGUGGUGAAAUCUCCGAGCUUAACUCGGAAAUUGCCAUUGAUACUGUAGGUCUUGAGUACAGUUGCUGUGGGCGGAAUAUGACAUGUAGUGGUGAAAUACAUAGAGAUGUCAUAGAACACCGAUUGCGAAGGCAGCUCACAAAGCUGUAACUGACACUGAGGCUCGAAAGUGCGGGGAUCAAACAGGAUUAGAUACCCUGGUAGUCCGCACCGUAACGAUGAUUACUCGCUGCUAGGGGGCAACCGUUUAGUGACUUAGCGAAAGCGAUAAGAAUCCACCUGGGGAGUACGCCGGCAACGGUGAAACGUCAAAGGAAUUAGACGGCGNGAGAGNGCGAGGACGACACGAGGGAGGAGG